This 461-nucleotide ribosomal RNA is filed under the name uncultured bacterium. RNAcentral's name for it is "partial 16S ribosomal RNA". It matches the Rfam family "Bacterial small subunit ribosomal RNA", at positions 338 to 795 of the family's 1533-position model. The record is from RNAcentral.
CCUACGGGUGGCAGCAGUGAGGAAUAUUGGUCAAUGGGCGGAAGCCUGAACCAGCCAAGUCGCGUGAGGGAAUAAGGCCCUACGGGUCGUAAACCUCUUUUGCCGGGGAGCAAGGGCGGGGACGUGUCCCGGCCCGGAGAGUACCCGGAGAAAAAGCAUCGGCUAACUCCGUGCCAGCAGCCGCGGUAAUACGGAGGAUCCGAGCGUUAUCCGGAUUUAUUGGGUUUAAAGGGAGCGUAGGCGGGUUGUUAAGUCAGUUGUGAAAGUUUGCGGCUCAACCGUAAAAUUGCAGUUGAUACUGGCAUCCUUGAGUACAGUAGAGGUAGGCGGAAUUCGUGGUGUAGCGGUGAAAUGCUUAGAUAUCACGAAGAACUCCGAUUGCGAAGGCAGCCUGCUGGACUGUAACUGACGCUGAUGCUCGAAAGUGUGGGUAUCAAACAGGAUUAGAUACCCCUGUAGUC